CUACGGGAGGCAGCAGUGGGGAAUCUUGCACAAUGGAGGAAACUCUGAUGCAGCGAUGCCGCGUGAGUGAAGAAGGCCCUUGGGUUGUAAAGCUCUUUCGUCGGGGAAGAAAAUGACUGUACCCGAAUAAGAAGGUCCGGCUAACUUCGUGCCAGCAGCCGCGGUAAUACGAAGGGACCUAGCGUAGUUCGGAAUUACUGGGCUUAAAGAGUUCGUAGGUGGUUGAAAAAGUUAGUGGUGAAAUCCCAGAGCUUAACUCUGGAACUGCCAUUAAAACUUUUCAGCUAGAGUAUGAUAGAGGAAAGCAGAAUUUCUAGUGUAGAGGUGAAAUUCGUAGAUAUUAGAAAGAAUACCAAUUGCGAAGGCAGCUUUCUGGAUCAUUACUGACACUGAGGAACGAAAGCAUGGGUAGCGAAGAGGAUUAGAUACCCUCGUAGUCCAUGCCGUAAACGAUGUGUGUUAGACGUUGGAAAUUUAUUUUCAGUGUCGCAGCGAAAGCGAUAAACACACCGCCUGGGGAGUACGACCGCAAGGUUAAAACUCAAAGGAAUUGACGGA
Molecule: ribosomal RNA, 558 nt
Filed under: uncultured bacterium
Lineage: Bacteria
Description: bacterial SSU rRNA
Rfam family: Bacterial small subunit ribosomal RNA
Source: RNAcentral